AGAAAUGAUAACCAAGCUAUGUUACAGACUUUUAAGCCCCUAAAGAAUCAUUUCAACAAAAUAUUAUGAUAUGUUGUGAUUUUCUUGCCUGGAAAUUGAUGAAAUUUUUGAGUCAUAUGGAGUCUAUAGAGAAUUUGUUGUUGUUAUAACUAUGCUUAGCUCUUAAAUAUUUUACCAGCUAUAAAGUGCUUCUUCUUGUUGUUGAAAUAUAUGUCUAUAAAAAUGUUUUCUCUGUGAAAAAGAUUUCUCUAUAUCUCAUACAAUGAUUAAAAAAAAAUUAUUUCUGCUGGUUUUGGGCAGCUGAAAAAGUCAAGGAAAGUCGGAACCUUGACUGCUGUGUUGCCACAAGAGGAACAGGAGCCAAAGCUCAGCAUGGUGUGAGAAGGUUGCCCUCAGGCAAGCGUGAGACUGGCCUUGGUAAUUGGCACCGGUGAAUGAGAGGGUCCUGGCACGACUCUGAAAACCAGAGGGAGGAUCCCACAGUAGUCUCAUUUUGUUUCUCUCCCCUGGGCACUGGAAAAGUCUUGCUGUAUGCACUUCGCUCAGCUUCAGGCAGAGGUGUUAAUAGAGCCUCUUGUGGAUCAGCGUCUCCCCAGUCUACACUAUCAUUAGCCCUGGGGUGGGCCAGAGGGAAAGAGAGGGACUGUGGCACAUCUCUUGUCAUUUACCCUGUUUUUUUUU
This is a long non-coding RNA of Carassius auratus (goldfish), 681 nucleotides long. RefSeq lists it as uncharacterized. The record is from RefSeq and is a predicted model, not a curated record. The transcript is spliced from 3 exons. Lineage: Eukaryota; Metazoa; Chordata; Actinopteri; Cypriniformes; Cyprinidae.